Molecule: ribosomal RNA, 497 nt
Filed under: uncultured bacterium
Lineage: Bacteria
Description: partial 16S ribosomal RNA
Rfam family: Bacterial small subunit ribosomal RNA
Source: RNAcentral
GAUGAACGCUGGCGGCGUGCCUAAUACAUGCAAGUCGAGCGAACAGACGAGGAGCUUGCUCCUUUGACGUUAGCGGCGGACGGGUGAGUAACACGUAGGUAACCUACCUAUAAGACUGGGAUAACUUCGGGAAACCGGAGCUAAUACCGGAUAAUAUUUCGAACCGCAUGGUUCGAUAGUGAAAGAUGGCUUUGCUUUCACUUAUAGAUGGACCUGCGCCGUAUUAGCUAGUUGGUAAGGUAACGGCUUACCAAGGCAACGAGACGUAGCCGACCUGAGAGGGUGAUCGGCCACACGGGAACUGAGACACGGUCCAGACUCCUACGGGAGGCAGCAGUAGGGAAUCUGCCGCAAUGGGCGAAAGCCUGACGGAGCAACGCCGCGUGAGUGAUGAAGGUCUUCGGAUCGUAAAACUCUGUUAUUAGGGAAGAACAAACGUGUAAGUAACUGUGCACGUCUUGACGGUACCUAAUCAGAAAGCCACGGCUAACUACGUG